This 57-nucleotide transfer RNA is filed under the name Dendropsophus parviceps (Sarayacu treefrog). RNAcentral's name for it is "partial tRNA-Gln". The record is from RNAcentral. Lineage: Eukaryota; Metazoa; Chordata; Amphibia; Anura; Hylidae.
GUAGGAAUCGAACCUACACCUAAGAGAUCAAAACUCUCCGUAAUUCCAUCACCCUUU